Molecule: non-coding RNA, 84 nt
Filed under: Rhodobiaceae bacterium
Lineage: Bacteria; Pseudomonadati; Pseudomonadota; Alphaproteobacteria; Hyphomicrobiales; Rhodobiaceae
Also listed under: 1 other name
Source: RNAcentral
UUUUAUGGUCGGGCGUUCGGGAGAGCCUUCGGGCUCGCCGUUCCUACGGACGGUAGUUCCAAUCCUGUUCGUCCGGCCACCAGA